UGCAGUUUUCCUUAAAGCCAUCAGAAAGAAUUAAUUAUUCUGUGCUAAUGUUACAUAGCACAUUACUUGUUAUACCAAAACACAAUUUCAUAUAUGGUUUUGGUGUAUUUCUAUUCAAAGUUAGUCAAGAUUCCUAUUUUACUUCCAAAGUGCCUCCUAUGUAUAUGGUCUUUGAAGAAAAAUGCCUUAUGGAGCAGAAUCUAUAACCACUUUAUAGCGGUCUUGCCAUCACUUCUGCCCAGAGCAAAGAUUUAACUACUCUAUAAAGAUUGCAGAGCCAAAUAAAAGGCAUUUCAUUAAUUCAGAUAAUAGAUUAAUUUCAGCACAUCUCCACCAUCCUGAUGAGAGAC
Homo sapiens (human) is the source of this 350-nucleotide long non-coding RNA. RefSeq lists it as uncharacterized. NCBI's taxonomy places the organism in Eukaryota, Metazoa, Chordata, Mammalia, Primates, Hominidae. The transcript has 3 exons. The record is from RefSeq and is a predicted model, not a curated record.